GACGAACGCUGGCGGCGUGCUUAACACAUGCAAGUCGAACGGAAAGGCCCUGCUUGCAGGGUACUCGAGUGGCGAACGGGUGAGUAACACGUGGGUGAUCUGCCCUGCACUUCGGGAUAAGCCUGGGAAACUGGGUCUAAUACCGGAUAGGAGCCAUUUUUAGUGUGAUGGUUGGAAAGUUUUUUCGGUGUAGGAUGAGCUCGCGGCCUAUCAGCUUGUUGGUGGGGUAAUGGCCUACCAAGGCGGCGACGGGUAGCCGGCCUGAGAGGGUGGACGGCCACAUUGGGACUGAGAGACGGCCCAGACUCCUACGGGAGGCAGCAGUGGGGAAUAUUGCACAAUGGGCGCAAGCCUGAUGCAGCGACGCCGCGGGGGGGAUGACGGCCUUCGGGUUGUAAACUCCUUUCGCUAGGGACGAAGCUUUUUGUGACGGUACCUAGAGAAGAAGCACCGGCUAACUACGUG
RNAcentral lists this ribosomal RNA (465 nucleotides) under uncultured bacterium. RNAcentral describes it as "partial 16S ribosomal RNA". It matches the Rfam family "Bacterial small subunit ribosomal RNA", at positions 28 to 507 of the family's 1533-position model. The record is from RNAcentral.